Molecule: long non-coding RNA, 3186 nt
Organism: Gasterosteus aculeatus aculeatus (three-spined stickleback)
Lineage: Eukaryota; Metazoa; Chordata; Actinopteri; Perciformes; Gasterosteidae
Source: Ensembl
GGGAGGACGAGUCGCAUUGUAGUGGUAACGUAACAGCGACAUGGCGCUGAGCCCAUGUAUAAAACCACCCGGGUAAGAAUCAUGGAAACAGCUCAUUCAUCAGCCAGGACUCAAAUGGACCUCAUAAAGUAAGACAACGUAUACAACUGAGAUCAGCACUCUGAGAUCAUCCCAGAGUCAACUCAGAUGUUUCUCCAAAGUGAGACGUCUCGAGAACAGCAGUUUGUGUAUGUGUGUGUGUGUGUGUGUGUGUUUGGCAUCUUUGUUUAUGUUUAAUCCGUGUUUUUUGCCCGCGUGUUUGCGCGUUAAAACGCAUGUGAUUAUACACAUAUACCAGCAUGCACAAUUGUGUAUGUACACUGUUCAAGAGGUCAUGCAGUUCCCCACACAUCCCUUUAUAAUGUCACGUAUACACCACCAGACUCUCUCUCCCCACACAAUCAUUCUCUCCCAUCUAACACAGAUAAUUCGAUCUGCUAUUAUCGCAAAACAAUCCACCCUCUUAGUAACGGUUGCUAGGUCUAACAAACUUGAGGAACAAGAAACAUGACGGCAAGGUGCGGGUUAACUGUGGGCAAUGGAAGGACACAUUCAUGAUGAUUAACUUUAGUCAGGUGACUUUUUUAAUGUCAUGUACAUAAAAAAUACAGAAUCAAGACCUGGGGAACCGACCCUUCCGCUGGAGAGUGAGGGGUUCUGGUGCUCGGGAACACUUUGUUCAACAGGAACCGCCAAAAUCAACACAACAUGAGAGCUCCCUGCUGCAGUUGUUACCAUCUGCACUGUCCUGUGUUGAUGCAGAUGUGGAGACGAAUGUAAUAUGGCUUUCAUGGUAAUGUGACUUUUACCCAGGCAUAGCAUCGUAGAACAGCAAACGGGAACCUCCUUGUUUUAAAAUUGCUCAACUGUUUCACAGAGGGGAAGGGGGCGGGAUCGAGGAAACCGUGAAGCAAAACUUGCAUAUUCUUGCCUAAAAAUCUCUUUUUUUCCCUUUUCUGCAGUGUGGCGCUAUAAAUGUGAGCGUAACGUACUCUAAAUGUGUGUCGUACAGGGAGGUGCAUGCUGUAUGAGCAUGUGAUAGUGAGGAUGGUGUUAUCAGUGCAGUGCUGGGACUAAUUAAAAUCCUCCCCAGCAACCUUUGAGGCAACAACACGGACAAUCAACCUCACUUACGCUCACAACACUGCAGUGCACCAGUGCUUGUUGGAGCAAAGGGAAACUGUGUCCUGCGUGCACACGUUUUUUCAUCUUUUCAUCUGCACUUGCCUGUCAUGUUAGUGUGAGGACAAUUUAGAACCAUGAUGCCGGCAGUGGGAAAAAGCCAGUGUAGGAAAUGAGGGAUGAUGGCGGUGAUACAAUCCCAGAGCUGGAAGCACAGCGGUAUCUACCUGUCUAGACACUGCACAGCUGUCUCCGGUAGAACGCCAGCUGCACGGACCACUAACUGCGUCAGAAAUAUUGACAUGCCAGAGCCAAGACUCUACCGAUGGAGCGCUGAGCGAAGGCCUGCUGCCGUCAUCCACACGCACAGAGGAUGAGGGAUUGAGGGGUUGCGGAGCGGUUUAUCUCUCGUCGCCGCUCUUUUAAGAGAAACGAGAAGGGAUGAGCUGAGACGGAUUGAGUGGACUCAAAAGUAACAGGAUUGUAAUUAUUUACCCUAAACGUCCUGUUGAGACUGGCUGGAAUUUACUCCUUUCAGAACCGGACGCAGCGUGUUUGUGGGGAGCGCGGGGGCCAUCGGGCACGAACGCUCCGAGCUUUGUGUGUGUGUGUUUUUAGCCUGUUCUGCGUCACUGCUGCUCUCUUGUUUAUGCAGAGGCUGUGUGGAUAUGGAGAGGUGGGAUAUCCAAGCCUCCCACUGUCACCUGAUAUCUGUGGAAAAUGGAUCAGAUGAUUGGACGAGUCCACUCGACUCUUCGAGCAGAAAGUCCCGUUUCCCCUCACGUCAGAGCCUGUUGCAAAACCGUCGUUUUGACUCUCGCCAAGAGGUGACGAAGCACGUCUCACAAUUCCCACAGCUAAUGUGAAAAAGAAAGAAAGAUGAAACUUGAGAGUUGGACUUUGAGUCUUGUGCCUGCUACACGCAGGUUGACUGCUGCAACGUAAGGGAGGCAGAGAAGGGCGGACGAGAGGCCGGGUGAGACGGAGAGGAAGAGGCCCAUAUUGAGUUACACAGACGAGGGUCUGUGUAUUCUCGGUGGACCAGGGAAGAUGCAGGCGAGUCUGUGACCUGUAGCACAAGGGCCUCCCCUUGUGUUCUGUUGCAAAACUACAAAUCUACUGAUUUGUUAAGUACAAAUUAAAUCAACAAAACACAGCUGUGACUGGGGGAUCCCAAGGCGUUCCAGGGCCAGUGUGGACAUGCUUGUACUCAUGAUCGGUCAUCACCCAUCCCUCAGGACGAGAGGUAAGACUGGCCGGCAACUGUGGGCGAGUGGAAGACGCGGUCGCACCACAAUCAGAGGAUUGGCCGUUUGAUCCCUGGCCCGGCUUUUUCGCCGCCCACGCUGCUCGGACUCUCGGGCCAAACUCGCACUCCCUGAGGUACUUGAACUCCUUCACUUUGGCUGAGGACGUCAACGAUGCCAAACUCCACAAGAUACCAGAACUUAGGACUGAAUCUUCAUGGCUGAUAUACAAAACAAAGGUUUUCCUAAAGCAUCGGGGCAAAGUAUUUUUUUUAAAAAGCACGCUCAUCCCAGUCGUCGUUGGCCCCCCGGGGGCCCGGUAGGGCCGACACACUAGAAACAGACAUCCUCACACAGCUUCUCCUACGGCCAGUUUAGAGUAAACAAUUAACCUAAGCUGCACGUCUUUAUGCUGUGAGAGGAAGCAGGAGGCGGCGGUGCUCCACAGAUCGAUGUCAAAUCUUACUGCCCAAUACGCAUGAAAUGCACAGCUGGUGAAAAAAAGAAAGAAAAGAAAGGCAGUAUUGAGCUGAAGAACUCCCCCUUUUUCCACGUGCAUCUGUAAAUGGGUUGAUAUCAGCGGGAGGAGGUGCACAACAGAAGGAGCGCUGCUGAUGGUGGUCGUGGAGGCCUGUCGACUCAACGGGGAGCCUCCGUUACUCAUAACCGAGCGCAGAGAGGAUUCGCUGUCUCAUUCUAAUCUCCAGUCUGCCUCUUACCUUGUUUCCUUUUGCCCAUCUCCUGAUGUAACUUCAUGAGCUGCUCCCCAAAGCUCCAC